Chroicocephalus ridibundus (black-headed gull) is the source of this 431-nucleotide long non-coding RNA. RefSeq lists it as uncharacterized. Lineage: Eukaryota; Metazoa; Chordata; Aves; Charadriiformes; Laridae. The transcript is spliced from 3 exons. The record is from RefSeq and is a predicted model, not a curated record.
UUUUUCUUUUAAGAAAUAGAUAAAAACGGGCUUUGCCUAUUCACGGCGGCAUCGGGUAAAGCGCUGGAAGAGAAACCAACGAAUUUUUACUUGAUUUUCCAUGCUGAUCUCCAGCGUGAUAGUUGCUGUUCUUUUGAGAGGAGCCUACGGAUGCCGCAGAUGACUGGCUGACUUUGCAUAAGAACUCCACCGUAAAUUCUUGCUGCAAUUCUGACAGGUAAAGUCCUGAUCAUACUUUGGCCCAGCACUGGAAAAGCCUGGAGUCCAAUAAAAAGGAAACAUGGCAGCACUAGUGUGUUAGUAAGGUGGGAAAGUCUGCUGAAGGUAUUUGGGGCACUGAAGAUGAAAAUUUACCAUAAAGAAUUGCAAAAGGACCCUAAAAAAAAUAACCAAGUUGUUACCUGAAAUAAAAGUUCUCCAAACCAAAAGUA